This 299-nucleotide unclassified non-coding RNA is filed under the name plant metagenome. RNAcentral's name for it is "partial contains 5.8S ribosomal RNA, internal transcribed spacer 2, and large subunit ribosomal RNA". The stretch from base 1 to 105 matches the Rfam family "5.8S ribosomal RNA", at positions 50 to 154 of the family's 154-position model. The record is from RNAcentral.
GAAAUGCGAUAAGUAAUGUGAAUUGCAGAAUUCAGUGAAUCAUCGAAUCUUUGAACGCACAUUGCGCCCCCUGGUAUUCCGGGGGGCAUGCCUGUUCGAGCGUCAUUUCACCACUCAAGCCUCGCUUGGUAUUGGGCGACGCGGUCCGCCGCGCGCCUCAAAUCGACCGGCUGGGUCUUCCGUCCCCUCAGCGUUGUGGAAACUAUUCGCUAAAGGGUGCUGCGGGAGGUCACGCCGCAAAACAACCCCAUUUCUAAGGUUGACCUCGGAUCAGGUAGGGAUACCCGCUGAACUUAAGC